Kogia breviceps (pygmy sperm whale) is the source of this 2648-nucleotide RNA transcript. It is a transcript of the gene named galactosylceramidase, with no coding region annotated. NCBI's taxonomy places the organism in Eukaryota, Metazoa, Chordata, Mammalia, Artiodactyla, Physeteridae. The record is from RefSeq and is a predicted model, not a curated record.
AGUCAUGUGACCCACACAAUGGCUGAGCGCGUACUUCAGGCUUCCCGGCAACGCCAAGUGGAAGCCAUGAUGGCAGCCGCGGGUUCGGCGGGCCAAGCCGCGGUGCCCCUGCUGCUGUGCGCGCUGCUGGCGCCCGGCGGCGCGUACGUCCUCGACGAUUCCGACGGGCUGGGCCGGGAGUUCGACGGCAUCGGAGCGGUCAGCGGCGGCGGGGCAACCUCCCGACUUCUAGUAAAUUACCCAGAGCCCUAUCGUUCUCAAAUACUGGAUUAUCUCUUUAAGCCAAACUUCGGUGCCUCUUUGCAUAUUCUAAAAGUUGAAAUAGGAGGUGAUGGGCAGACCACAGAUGGCACUGAGCCCUCCCACAUGCACUACGCAUUAGAUGAGAAUUAUUUCCGAGGAUAUGAGUGGUGGUUAAUGAAGGAAGCUAAGAAGCGGAACCCUAAUAUCAUACUCAUGGGGCUGCCAUGGUCGUUCCCUGGAUGGCUGGGGAAAGGUUUCAACUGGCCUUAUGUAAAUCUUCAGCUGACUGCCUACUAUGUUGUGUCCUGGAUUGUGGGCGCCAAGCAUUAUCAUGAUCUGGACAUUGAUUAUAUCGGAAUUUGGAAUGAGAGGGCAUUUGACAUCAAUUAUAUCAAGGUGUUAAGAAGAAUGCUGAACUAUCAAGGUCUCCAGCAAGUGAAAAUCAUAGCGAGUGAUAAUCUCUGGGAGCCCAUUUCUGCUUCUAUGCUGCUUGACUCUGAGCUCUUGAAGGUGAUUGACGUUAUAGGAGCUCAUUACCCAGGGACCCGUACAGUAAAGGAUGCUAGGUUGACUGAGAAGAAGCUUUGGUCUUCUGAAGAUUUUAGCACUUUAAAUAGUGAUGUGGGUGCAGGCUGCUGGGGUCGCAUAUUGAAUCAGAAUUAUAUCAAUGGCUACAUGACUGCCACAAUUGCUUGGAAUUUGGUGGCUAGUUACUAUGAACAGUUGCCAUAUGGGCGUUGUGGACUGAUGACUGCUCAGGAGCCAUGGAGCGGGCACUAUGUAGUAGAAGCUCCUAUCUGGAUAUCAGCUCAUACCACUCAGUUUACUCAACCAGGUUGGUAUUACCUGAAGACAGUUGGCCAUUUAGAAAAAGGAGGAAGCUAUGUAGCUCUGACGGAUGGCUUAGGUAACCUCACCAUCAUCGUUGAAACUAUGAGUCAUAAACAUUCCAUGUGUAUACGGCCACUUCUUCCCUAUUUCAAUGUUUCACAACAAUUUGCUACCUUCAUUCUUAAGGGUUCUUUUAGUGAAAUACCAGAGCUGCAGGUGUGGUAUACCAAACUUGGAAAACCAUCGGAGAGAUUUCUUUUCAAACAACUGGAUUCUCUAUGGCUCUUAGACAGCGGUGGCAGCUUCACACUGGAACUGCAAGAGGACGAGCUGUUCACACUCACCACGCUCACCACCGGCAGCAAAGGCAGUUACCUGCUGCCUCCGAAGUCCCAGCCCUUUCCCUGUGUCUAUAAGGAUGACUUCAAUGUCGAUUACCCAUUUUUUAGUGAAGCUCCGAAUUUUGCUGAUCAGACAGGUGUAUUUGAAUACUUUAUGAAUAUUGAAGACCCUGGAGAGCAUCGCUUCACACUGCGCCAGGUUCUCAAUCAAAGACCCAUUACUUGGGCUGCUGAUGCAUUCAACACCAUCAGUAUUAUAGGAGAUUACAAAUGGUCCAAUUUGACUGUAAAGUGUGAUGUGUACUUAGAGACCCCUGAGAAGGGAGGUGUGUUCAUUGCUGGAAGAGUGAAUAAAGGUGGUGUUUUGAUUAGAAGUGCCAGGGGAGUUUUCUUCUGGAUUUUUGCAAAUGGAACCUACAGAGUUACAGGUGAUCUAGCUGGAUGGAUCAUAUAUACUUCAGGACAUGCUGACGUUACAGCAAAAAAAUGGUAUACACUCACUUUAACUAUUAAUGGUUAUUUCUCUUCUGGCACGCUGAAUGGUAAGCCUCUCUGGAAAAACGUCCCUGUGAACUUCCCGAAGAAUGGCUGGGCUGCGAUUGGAACUCACUCCUUUGAAUUUGCACAGUUUGACAACUUUCGUGUGGAAGCCAUACACUAAUACUCACAGUGCCAUAGAACACUCUCUGGAUUUUCUUUCUUUUUGGUUUUGGUUCAGAGCCAUUUCUGGUUUUGAUGGAUCAAUAUAGGAGCCUUUUGGAAGCUAUAAAUAAUGGAGAGUAAAUGAGGAGAAAAAUAUAUUUUUGCUUCAUCAUCUUGAAGAUUUCUUUUUUAGAAUUCCAAGGGGAAACAGAUGAAUCUUUAAUAUGACCUGAUACGUCCCAUAGAUAGGACACUAGGUGACUGGAAGGAGGAAGAAAACCCUAUGUAGACAAUGCUGUGAGUGGGUCCAAAGGUAAAAUUGUAGCAAUUUCUUGCAUUUCAUUUCAUUGUGCCUUUCAUUGUCUGUCUUCUCUUGUGGCACUGGUGACAAACUAAAAUAACCAAUGAAUACUUUUAUCUCCUCAUGCCUGGAAAAAAAGGAACAUCUAUCUAGUUUAUAGAAUUGGAUCAUCCUCUAAUAUUUUGUGUGGUUAGAAGCAUUUCUUUUGUUAAAGUACAAAUAUAUUUAAGUAUAGGUGAGCAUAUUUCUCAUGCAGUAUAAUUUAUAUCUAAUAAUUAGUGUACCUCCUA